This is a non-coding RNA of Macaca mulatta (Rhesus monkey), 2605 nucleotides long. Lineage: Eukaryota; Metazoa; Chordata; Mammalia; Primates; Cercopithecidae. The record is from RefSeq and is a predicted model, not a curated record.
CGAUUCUCCUGCUUCAGCCUCUCAAGUUGCUAGGACUACAGCCUCCAGCCUUCCUUGCACUUCUCAUGGGUGCCACCUUUUGCCCAGCCAGUGGAGCUUCAAGCCCUCAAGUCCUCUUUGAAUAAUCCUUCUUCAAGCUUCGUGACUAGUUAAUCACCAAGGUCUAUUGAUUUGGUCUAUUGAUUUCCUUCCAAAAUUUCUCACACACUCCUCUAUCCUCAUUUCUAAUACCUCUGCACUGGGCCAGGAGUCAAAAUACUAUAGUGACUUAAGUCACUUAGCCUCUCUGGUAUCAACAUUAUUCAUAAAAUGGUGAUUUGCCAUGCUUCCCUAGAAGUUUGUGGGUUUUUUUCUUUUUCUUUUCUUUUUCUUGGAGGCUAGGGGGAUGGAAUCUCGCUCUGUCACCCAGGAUGGAGUGCAGUGGCGUGACCUCGGCUCACUGCAACCUCCGCCUCCCAGUUCAAGUGAUUCUUCUGCCUCAUCCUCCUGAGUAGCUGGGACUACAGGUGUGUGCCACCACACCCAGCUAAUUUUUAUAGUUUUAGUAGAGACAGGGUUUCACCAUAUUGGCUAGGCUGGUCUCGAACUCCUGACCUCAUGAUCUGCCCGCCUCAGCCUCCCAAAGUGCUGGAAUUACAGGUGUGAACCACCACACCCGGCCUUGUUGUUGUUUUUAACCCAACAAAUGCCUUUUGAGGAUUGUGUGCCAGGUACUUUUCUAUUGCUGGGUAUACAGCAGAGAACCAAAGUCCCUGCUCUCCUGAAGUUAAUACUCUAGUGAGCUGAGACAGGUAAUUUUCAACGUGCACAGGACUGGUGGUAAUAAAUGAAACAGGCAGGGGAUAAAGAGGAGCAGGGACGUGGUAGCACUAUGUCCAACAAACUAGGAAGCUUUACUGUCCAUCUAUGUGUGUGUGUGGUUUUUUUUUUUUUCCUGAGACAGAGUCUUGCUCUGUUGCCCAGGCUAGAGUGCAGUGGUGUGAUCUCAGCUUACUGCAAUCUCCACCUCCUGGGUUCAAGCAUUUCUCCUGCCUCAGCCUCCCAAGUAGCUGGGAUUACAGGUGUGUCAUCACAGCCGGCUAAUUUUUGUAUUUUUAGUAGAGAUGGGGUUUCCCCAUGAUGGCCAGGCUGGUCUCGAUCUCCUGACCUCAAGUGAUCUGCCUGCCUCGGCCCUAAGUGUUGGGAUUAUAGAUGUGAGCUGCUGCACCCGGCCUCCGUCUAUGUAUUUGAAUGCAAAGUCAGUGCUUUUCUGCUGUGCAGUACUAAAGGAUAGGAUAGCAUUGUUUCAACCAUAAAGAACCACAUGAUUAAAGGCACUAUUACUACUAUUAUUAAGAGACUUACAUCCUCAACACCUCUUGCACAGAUUGCUCCAAGGCUUUCCUGACUGAGUUUCCCUGACUUUGGGCUCUCCCCUCCCUAUGAAGCUUUUGUACAUGGAUUGUUUCAGCAUGGCACUUUGAGCCCAUUGCCUUUGCCCUGCGUCUUGUGUUUCCCAUGGAAGCCACCUAAACUCAGUGUGCUCAGCUUUGCUUCUCCUCCCAGUACAAAGCCCUCCCAGCAAGCAGGACUAGUGGCUCCCUGAUCCGCAUGUCCACCGGCUCCACUCCAGCAUGCACUUUCCACCUUCCUGUUAAUGCAGAGUGCGGAUCCUGUCCUUACCUACCUGGAAAAACAAUCCUCCUUGGGAGGUACCAUGGAUUAACUAGAGCCCAACUCUCCCUUUCUAGAUGAUGGAAAGGCAUACAGAGUAAAGAACCUGCUCUGAAUUCCAUUACACAAUGAGAUGAUCUUCAGCUUCUCCAACCAGCCCAGAAGCCCGUGUCCUCUGGCAUCUGGUACUCAGAUGUCGCAAAUCCCGCCAUUGGACUAAGAUGGUGGUUUCACAUAGUGCCAAGCACCUAGCAGGCAUCACUAAAUACUUGCUGAUGUGUGAAUUCUGUUUUACUUCAGUGAUUCAGCUCUGCCAGGCCAUUGUUUUACUUACCUGCCUCCUGAAACUCUGCAAGACUUGGUAGAAAAUGAAUCAUCAAUUUGACUUGUUGUUUCUUCAAAACUUUGACUGUGACCUUGAAACUGUGGUUCUGAAAACAAGUGAAUCUUUGAAAAAGUAAACAGAAACACAAAAAAUUAUUUUCAUAAACACAUUAACUAAUUUAGCCUUUGAAAUGAUGACCCAAACAUGACCUGUUAACUUUUGUUACAGUAAACUGGUGUGAAUUUUAUAAAUCCUUUAAUUUUCCAUGUCUACAUUCAUGAUCAAUUAGAAACAUGUUAGCUGCACCAUUCAUGACUGUUUAUUUAAUUCAGAGACAUCAAAGUAAAAUGCAACAACAGAGGUAACUUUCUAUAGAACACCCUGUUGUGAAGCUGUGGGGCAUUUUAAAGCUUUAUUGUGGCCAGAAGUCAUUGUUCAUCAGUUCUAACAGUAACAACAAACAGUAUUUUGGAAAACACAGUGUAGUUUCCUUCCUUCUCAAUGGAAGAUACUUGCUGACUUAUCAGAAUCCUGUAAAUGCCAAUAAAGGAGGCUAUAGUGGUGUUUGUUCCUCUAUAAUUAUGGCUCUGUGAACACUUCCAUUAAAAGGCCUAAAUAACAAAUGUA